RNAcentral lists this ribosomal RNA (174 nucleotides) under uncultured Flavobacterium sp. RNAcentral's name for it is "16S ribosomal RNA". It matches the Rfam family "Bacterial small subunit ribosomal RNA", at positions 337 to 508 of the family's 1533-position model. The record is from RNAcentral. Lineage: Bacteria; Pseudomonadati; Bacteroidota; Flavobacteriia; Flavobacteriales; Flavobacteriaceae.
UCCUACGGGAGGCAGCAGUGAGGAAUAUUGGACAAUGGGCGCAAGCCUGAUCCAGCCAUGCCGCGUGCAGGAUGACGGUCCUAUGGAUUGUAAACUGCUUUUGCACAGGAAGAAACAACAUUACGUGUAAUGUCUUGACGGUACUGUGAGAAUAAGGAUCGGCUAACUCCGUGC